UGUGUCUGCAGUUAACUGAGCUGCAUGGAUAAGGGGAGUGUUUAAUAAACUCCCGUCAACACUAAACAUUUAUCCUGAAAUCACGGUACACGCACCGAUAAACAUUAUUUCUUGGGUCCAGUCCACUACCGUCUCUUGGAAAAUCAUUUUACGAAACAUUUCGGCAUUUUUUGAAUCGACAAUAUUACCUGCCCGUUUAUGGCUGGCCGGCAAACACAGACGGAAAUAUCCGGGAAACUAUCAACCACGAACUCCAGGCCCGGCCAGGAAUACCGGUUGCGAAUCACAUUUCGCGCAAGAAAAUGCAGCGAGCGACACCGUAUGCGCCAGGGGCAUUUUACAAAGACAUGACGCGCAACGAGCACGAAAGUGUGCGCGGAAAAAAUCAGACAUCGACGCCUGCAGUAGUUUUUGUUCUUUGGGACGUUCACUCUGGUGGAUUAACGAAAAGUCAUGCCUGCGCGAAUAAUAAAACAACCUUUAUACGAUUUGUCUUACUGCAAAGUUUCUGAACUUCCGAUAAUCAAGUUGCCUUUGUAAUCGCGGCACGGUAUUGUACAUACUGUUGGUAUACCUGUGAAAAUGCGCGCA
Molecule: long non-coding RNA, 591 nt
Organism: Paramacrobiotus metropolitanus
Lineage: Eukaryota; Metazoa; Tardigrada; Eutardigrada; Parachela; Macrobiotidae
Exons: 4
Source: RefSeq, a predicted model, not a curated record